UACGUAGGGCGCAAGCGUUGUCCGGAAUUAUUGGGCGUAAAGAGCUCGUAGGCGGCCAGUUGCGUCCGCUGUGAAAUCCUGGGGCUUAACCCCGGGCGUGCAGUGGAUACGGGCUGGCUAGAGGCAGGCAGGGGAGAACGGAAUUCCCGGUGUAGCGGUGAAAUGCGUAGAUAUCGUAAGGAAGACCAGUGGCGAAGGCGGGUCUCUGGACAGUUCCUGACGCUGAGGCACGAAGGUCAGGGGAGCAAACGGG
Molecule: ribosomal RNA, 253 nt
Filed under: uncultured bacterium
Lineage: Bacteria
Description: partial 16S ribosomal RNA
Rfam family: Bacterial small subunit ribosomal RNA
Source: RNAcentral